AUAAUCUGAAUAUGCUGUAGAAGUGAACUGGACAGGAGUGCCUACUAAUGAGCGUCAGAGGAGAUGGAGAAGACUCUGCAGAAAAACUAGUACUGCACCAUCAGAAAGGAACUCCGUAGCAGCAACUGGACAGAUGGUAGCGCAAAGAGAGCUUCAGAGCCCAAUAUACUCACUUUGAGCAAUCUCAGCCAAUCAGAACAUCCUGUGGCGGCAGUCUCCAAUGACAUGCAAUGUUAAAGGUCAGGCAGAGUGAUAUUCAGGAUGAUGUGAACCCUGCAAAAGUGGCAUCUCGGUGAAAGGUCAACUGGGCGACCUCACGUUGUCUCCUCACGUUUGGACACACAAACAUCAACAUACAUCUUACCUCUUCUAAUUGUUCUAACUGUUCCUUGAGAAAACAUGCAGCCUGGUGGUUUUUAUACUAAAUGUUGUAAUAGAACUUGUAAUAAUGCCAAUUUUGUUUGGCUUUGGAGAGUUGUAUUGUUUGGUAAUGUAAUAAAACAUGUUCCUGCCAUUUAAGAGCCAAAA
This is a long non-coding RNA of Scomber japonicus (chub mackerel), 528 nucleotides long. RefSeq lists it as uncharacterized. NCBI's taxonomy places the organism in Eukaryota, Metazoa, Chordata, Actinopteri, Scombriformes, Scombridae. The transcript is spliced from 5 exons. The record is from RefSeq and is a predicted model, not a curated record.